CACCGCGGUUAGACGAUGGACCCAAGUUGACAGUACACGGCACAAAGGGUGGUUAAUAUGAAAUUAAACUAAAGUCGAACUUCUUCAGUACCGUCAUAAGUUCUUGAAGAGAGGAAGCACAACAACGAAAGUGACUUUAAAAAUAUGAACCCACGAAAGCUAGGGCA
Molecule: ribosomal RNA, 167 nt
Filed under: Trimma taylori (yellow cave goby)
Lineage: Eukaryota; Metazoa; Chordata; Actinopteri; Gobiiformes; Gobiidae
Description: partial 12S rRNA
Source: RNAcentral